Molecule: ribosomal RNA, 597 nt
Filed under: uncultured bacterium
Lineage: Bacteria
Description: bacterial SSU rRNA
Rfam family: Bacterial small subunit ribosomal RNA
Source: RNAcentral
AAUACUUAGGAAUCUACCUAUUAAUGGGGGACAACAUUUCGAAAGGAAUGCUAAUACCGCAUACGCCCUACGGGGGAAAGCAGGGGAUCUUCGGACCUUGCGUUAAUAGAUGAGCCUAAGUCGGAUUAGCUAGUUGGUGGGGUAAAGGCCUACCAAGGCGACGAUCUGUAGCGGGUCUGAGAGGAUGAUCCGCCACACUGGGACUGAGACACGGCCCAGACUCCUACGGGAGGCAGCAGUGGGGAAUAUUGGACAAUGGGGGGAACCCUGAUCCAGCCAUGCCGCGUGUGUGAAGAAGGCCUUUUGGUUGUAAAGCACUUUAAGCGAGGAGGAGGCUACUGAGAUUAAUACUCUUGGAUAGUGGACGUUACUCGCAGAAUAAGCACCGGCUAACUCUGUGCCAGCAGCCGCGGUAAUACAGAGGGUGCGAGCGUUAAUCGGAUUUACUGGGCGUAAAGCGUGCGUAGGCGGCUUUUUAAGUCGGAUGUGAAAUCCCUGAGCUUAACUUAGGAAUUGCAUUCGAUACUGGGAAGCUAGAGUAUGGGAGAGGAUGGUAGAAUUCCAGGUGUAGCGGUGAAAUGCGUAGAGAUCUGGAGG